AUACUUACCUGGCAGGGGAGAUACCAUGAUCACGAAGGUGAUUUUCCCAGGGCGAGGCUUACCCGUUGCACUCUGGAUGUGCUGACCCCCGCGAUUUUCCCAAAUGUGGGAAACUCAACUGCAUAAUUUGUGGUAGUGGGGGACUGCGUUUCGUGCUUUCCCCUA
Molecule: small nuclear RNA, 165 nt
Filed under: Aotus nancymaae (Ma's night monkey)
Lineage: Eukaryota; Metazoa; Chordata; Mammalia; Primates; Aotidae
Description: U1 spliceosomal RNA (ENSANAG00000019648.1)
Rfam family: U1 spliceosomal RNA
About the family: U1 is a small nuclear RNA (snRNA) component of the spliceosome (involved in pre-mRNA splicing). Its 5' end forms complementary base pairs with the 5' splice junction, thus defining the 5' donor site of an intron.
Source: Rfam by way of RNAcentral